UGAGGAAUAUUGGUCAAUGGGCGAGAGCCUGAACCAUCCAAGUAGCGUGCAGGAUGACGGCCCUAUGGGUUGUAAACUGCUUUUAUGUGGGGAUAAAGUGCGUGACGUGUCAUGCAUUGCAGGUACCACAUGAAUAAGGACCGGCUAAUUCCGUGCCAGCAGCCGCGGUAAUACGGAAGGUGCGGGCGUUAUCCGGAUUUAUUGGGUUUAAAGGGAGCGUAGGCUGUCUAUUAAGCGUGUUGUGAAAUAUACCGGCGCAACCGGUGGCUUGCAGCGAGAACUGAUCGACUUGAGUAUGCAGGAAGUAGGCAGAAUUCAUGGUGUAGCGGUGAAAUGCUUAGAUAUCAUGACGAACUCCGAUUGCGCAGGCAGCUUACUGUAGCAUAACUGACGCUGAUGCUCGAAAGUGCGGGUAGCGAACAGG
Molecule: ribosomal RNA, 424 nt
Filed under: Verrucomicrobiota bacterium
Lineage: Bacteria; Pseudomonadati; Verrucomicrobiota
Description: Verrucomicrobia bacterium partial 16S ribosomal RNA
Rfam family: Bacterial small subunit ribosomal RNA
Source: RNAcentral